Non-coding RNA from Podarcis lilfordi (Lilford's wall lizard), 114 nucleotides. Lineage: Eukaryota; Metazoa; Chordata; Lepidosauria; Squamata; Lacertidae. The record is from the annotation of a GenBank genome assembly.
AACUAAGUUUGUUAUUGGUAUGAGCUUUCGUGUGCAUGCACACUUCUUCAGAUAUUGGUAUGUGAAGAAGUGUGCAUGCACACGAAAGCUCAUACCAAUAACAAACUUAGUUUU